This 375-nucleotide ribosomal RNA is filed under the name uncultured bacterium. Its description in RNAcentral is "bacterial SSU rRNA". It matches the Rfam family "Bacterial small subunit ribosomal RNA", at positions 521 to 896 of the family's 1533-position model. The record is from RNAcentral.
UAAGACGAACCGUGCGAACGUUGUUCGGAAUCACUGGGCUUAAAGGGCGCGUAGGCGGGCUUGCCGGUCCGGGGUGAAAGCCCCCAGCUCAACUGGGGAAGCGCCUUGGAUACCGCAAGCCUGGAGGGAGGUAGGGGCGUGCGGAACUUCCGGUGGAGCGGUGAAAUGCGUAGAUAUCGGAAGGAACACCGGUGGCGAAAGCGGCGCGCUGGACCUCUUCUGACGCUGAGGCGCGAAAGCCAGGGGAGCAAACGGGAUUAGAUACCCCGGUAGUCCUGGCCCUAAACGUUGGGUACCAGGUUGUGGACUUGCAUGGGUUCACAGCCGGAGCAAAAGUGUUCAGUACCCCGCCUGGGGAGUAUGGUCGCAAGGCUG